CCUACGGGUGGCAGCAGUUGGGAAUAUUGCACAAUGGGCGCGACCCUGAUGCAGCGACGUCGCGUGAGUGAAGAAGGAUUUCGGUAUGUAAAGCUCUAUCAGCAGGGAAGAAAAUGACGGUACCUGAUUAAGUAGCCCCGUCUAACUACGUGCCAGCAGGCGCGGUAAUACGUAGGCGGCCAGCGUUAUCCGGAUUUACUGGGUGUAAAGGGAGCGUAGACGGCAGGACAAGUCUGGAGUGAAAUGCCGGGGCUUAACCCCGGAACUGCUUUGGAAACUGUGGAGCUUGAGUGAAUGAGAGGUAAGUGGAAUGCCUGGGGUAGCGGUGAAAUGCGUAGAUAUUAGGAGGAACACCAGUGGCGAAGGCGGCUUACUGGACCGUAACUGACGUUGAUGCUCGAAAGCGUGGGGAGCAAACAGGAUUAGAUACCCGUGUAGUC
This 440-nucleotide ribosomal RNA is filed under the name uncultured bacterium. RNAcentral's name for it is "partial 16S ribosomal RNA". It matches the Rfam family "Bacterial small subunit ribosomal RNA", at positions 338 to 795 of the family's 1533-position model. The record is from RNAcentral.